This 835-nucleotide ribosomal RNA is filed under the name uncultured bacterium. Its description in RNAcentral is "bacterial SSU rRNA". It matches the Rfam family "Bacterial small subunit ribosomal RNA", at positions 202 to 1094 of the family's 1533-position model. The record is from RNAcentral.
AAGCUAUUUAGGUGACACUAUAGAAUACUCAAGCUAUGCAUCCAACGCGUUGGGAGCUCUCCCAUAUGGUCGACCUGCAGGCGGCCGCACUAGUGAUUCCUACGGGGGGCAGCAGUGGGGAAUAUUGCGCAAUGGAGGGAACUCUGAUGCAGCGACGCCGCGUGAGUGAAGAAGGUCUUCGGAUCGUAAAACUCUGUCCUUGGUGAAGAAAAGGACGGUAGCCAAGGAGGAAGCCCCGGCUAACUACGUGCCAGCAGCCGCGGUAAUACGUAGGGGGCGAGCGUUGUCCGGAUUUACUGGGCGUAAAGGGUGAGUAGGCGGUUAUAUAUGUCAGGUGUAAAAAGCUAUGGCUUAACCAUAGUAAGCACUUGAAACUGUAUGACUUGAGUGCAGGAGAGGUAAGCGGAAUUCCUAGUGUAGCGGCGAAAUGCGUAGAUAUUAGGAGGAACACCGAUGGCGAAGGCGGCUUACUGGACUGUAACUGACGCUGAGUCACGAAAGCGUGGGUAGCAAACAGGAUUAGAUACCCUGGUAGUCCACGCUGUAAACGAUGAGUGCUAGGUGUUGGGUAGCGAUAUUCAGUGCCGGAGUAAACACAAUAAGCACUCCGCCUGGGGAGUACGGUCGCAAGACUGAAACUCAAAGGAAUUGACGGGGACCCGCACAAGCAGCGGAGCAUGUGGUUUAAUUCGAAGCAACGCGAAGAACCUUACCAAGGCUUGACAUCCCCUUGACAGAUGCAGAGAUGUAUCCUCCUCUUUUGAGGCAAGGGAGGCAGGUGGUGCAUGGUUGUCGUCAGCUCGUGUCGUGAGAUGUUGGGUUAAGUCCCGCAACG